UAGAUAGAUUAUUGUAUUCGACUGUAUUUACGGCAUGAAAUAAGGGAUUACACUGUUUUUAAAUGGAAAAUGUAUCAAUUAACAUAAUAAACUCCU
Nicotiana sylvestris (wood tobacco) is the source of this 96-nucleotide non-coding RNA. The record is from Rfam. Lineage: Eukaryota; Viridiplantae; Streptophyta; Magnoliopsida; Solanales; Solanaceae.